Molecule: long non-coding RNA, 2566 nt
Organism: Felis catus (domestic cat)
Lineage: Eukaryota; Metazoa; Chordata; Mammalia; Carnivora; Felidae
Exons: 5
Source: RefSeq, a predicted model, not a curated record
AUACACUUGACAACUUUAAGAAAUGCCGUAACACAGAACAAGGACAUUCCACAUGCCCUAUUUCUGGUGGAAGAUAAUUAAAAAGGAACACAAAAUAAUCACCAGAUUUAUUUAGCCAUUUAAAGAAGUGAAAUGAAAGCAUAUCAACAGUGAAAGCAUUCAAUCUAAUGCCAUCUGAUAUUGUAAAAGACUUUUAACAAUUUAUACCCGGUACAUGUUCAGCCUUAUUUUCUUUGAGGAACACUUUUCUGUUUUCUCAGAGUUGAUCCCACCCUUUAAAACCAGGGAUAAGAGGAUGACCCCAACCUGGCCAAUAAAGGACUAAACUCUAGCCACAAAGAUUAUUUUACUGAUAAGCAUGUGGCCUACACUAGAUCAGUAAGAGCUCUUUUUAGUUUGGCUAGGAUGAUUUGGUAAAAAGAAGUUGGUGGCUGAAAGACAUACACACCAGAGUUUCUGAAUGUGAUUGUCUUUGGUACUAACUUUGCAUAGGAAAAGUAUGUCUGAAAAUGUAGCAAACAUAAAGGAAGAAUAUAGAGCUAAGGGCUAAAAAGGGUCAAAUAUCUGAUGAUAAUGAUCAAACCUUGGAUUGAGUCAUAACUGAAGCUACUUCAUCCCAACACGUUCCAAAUUAUGCUAGCUAAUAAAUUCUGUUUGGCAUUUUGGAAUUGAGUUUCUGUCAUCUGCAGCAAAACAAUCAUCAUAAAUAUAUGAAUACAGAAUUUUAAAGCCAGAUCAACAUUUUCUCUGCUUAUUUAUUUAUAAUCAAGCAUAAAUGACCAUUAAAUUACAUGAGGAUUAGAUUGUGCCCAAAGUACUUGAAAAAAUAUCCUAUGUAAAUUUGAAGAUGAAGAUUAAAGAAUAGUGCUAUAGGGUAUAAACAGACUAGUGGUAAAAAUUAAAAUGUAAUAUAGCUCUAUUUAGUUUCACAUCUAGGCCCAUAAAAUUCAACUUUAACCUUAUGCAAAUGACAUAGAAAAUAUUAAAGUAAGAAUUAAAAUCAUGUCAACUGUGUAAGAUAGCAAAAAUAAGCAAUUUUUUCAUUUAAUCUUUAUUAUAAAAUUAUUAAUCUUUUUAAGAAAGGAUUAAGAAGAGACAUGAACAAAUUAUAACACACUGCUAAGGAAAAUGCUAAUUACAGAAGUGCCUCCUAUAUAGUUAGAGUGAAGAGAUUAAAGGGAUUACUUUAGAAAUUUUUACUAUUAAAUAAUACCUAAUUAAAAACUUUCCUACAUAGAAACUUCAGGCCUCGAUAGCUUCAUUAGGAAAAGGAAAUGUCAACACAUGCUCAAUUUUUAUGGCUUUCUGCCUAAGGGCAGGUCUCAGGCACAGUGGUGGGCACCCAGAACUCAGAUAAAAUGCCACAAUCCACUGGCUUAAUAAAUCAGAGGACCAAGUUUUGGGAAACCACAUGAGCUGGAAAGUGAAUCUUUAAAUCUCAGAAAAGAGAGAGCCACAGAAGGGAAAGCCCAAAUUUUGCAUAUAGUCUCUGUACAAAUUUCUGGUUGAUUCUGGAGUUACAUGUACUAUACAUGUGCAGUGCAGACUAUCAGUAGGAAAGCUAAGGCUACAAGAAGUGAUGAGAUUACACCUUCAGCCUACCACAGGGAAAACACGGCUUGAAAUUGGAGUUUAACCAAGUUCACUGCCUUCUUUUUUUUUAAUUUUUUUUCAACGUUUUUUAUUUAUUUUUGGGACAGAGAGAGACAGAGCAUGAACGGGGGAGGGGCAGAGAGAGAGGGAGACACAGAAUCGGAAACAGGCUCCAGGCUCCGAGCCAUCAGCCCAGAGCCCGACGCGGGGCUCGAACUCACAGACCGCGAGAUCGUGACCUGGCUGAAGUCGGACGCUUAACUGACUGCGCCACCCAGGCGCCCCGUUCACUGCCUUCUUAUAGCAAAAAAGCCAAACCUAUUUAAGGCAAGACAGAAAUUUCAGUGGAGAAAUAAAAACUACUGGAAAACAGAACCAAAUGGAAAUUCUAAAACCGAAACCAGAUAAUAGCUGGACCAAAAGAAUUCACUUAACAGAAGAUUGGAUAUGAUUGAAAAAAAAUAAGUAAAUUCACAGACAGAUGGUUAUUUUCUACUAUCAUAAGUUACCUGAUGGAUAAUAUACCAAAGGUAACUUCUCCCAAGGCACUUAGCUAAUAUAAACAGCUGAGCCAACCAGGGAGGAGCCCCGGGCAUUGAAUUUACCUACACCAAGCCACCGCCCCUCCCAGGAGAAGCACAUCUGGCCUGACAUUCUUUCACAAAUUAUCACAAUAACAUUGUUUAGUAAAGCACCUAGGAGUAUUAGAAGAGACACUACACUGCAAGUCAAGAGAUCCAGAAUCAUCUUUGCCUGUUUUUUGCUACUAUGAAAAUUCAAUUGUGGAACUAAACAUCAAAUGGACCCAUAAAGGGCUAAAGUAGAGUUGAAGCUGCACCAGCAUUCUCCUCGAAACUAGAACAAGCAAUCCUAAAAUUCAUAUGGAACUACAAAAGGCCCCCAAUAGCCAAAGUAAUUUUGAAGAAGAAGACCAAAGCAGGAGGCAUCACAAUCCCAGACUUUAGCCUCUACU